CACGUAGGGCGCAAGCGUUGUCCGGAAUUAUUGGGCGUAAGGAGCUCGUAGGCGGCCUGUCGCGUCUGCUGUGAAAUCCCGGGGCUCAACCCCGGGCCUGCAGUGGAUACGGGCUGGCUGGAGGCAGGCAGGGGAGAACGGAAUUCCUGGUGUAGCGGUGAAAUGCGCAGAUAUCAGGAGGAACACCGGUGGCGAAGGCGGUUCUCUGGGCCUGUUCUGACGCUGAGGAGCGAAAGCGUGGGGAGCGAACAGG
RNAcentral lists this ribosomal RNA (253 nucleotides) under uncultured bacterium. RNAcentral describes it as "partial 16S ribosomal RNA". It matches the Rfam family "Bacterial small subunit ribosomal RNA", at positions 524 to 776 of the family's 1533-position model. The record is from RNAcentral.